GGUUAAGCGACUAAGCGUACACGGUGGAUGCCCUGGCAGUCAGAGGCGAUGAAGGACGUGCUAAUCUGCGAAAAGCGCCGGCGAGGUGAUAUGAACCUUUGACCCGGCGAUGUCCGAAUGGGGAAACCCAGUGCAAUCCGUUGCACUAUCGUUAACUGAAUACAUAGGUUAACGAGGCGAACCGGGGGAACUGAAACAUCUAAGUACCCCGAGGAAAAGAAAUCAACCGAGAUUCCCCCAGUAGCGGCGAGCGAACGGGGAGCAGCCCGGAGUCUGAAUCAGCUUGUGUGUUAGUGGAACGGUCUGGAAAGUCCGACGGUACAGGGUGAUAGUCCCGUACACGAAAGCACACAUGCUGUGAACUCGAAGAGUAGGGCGGGACACGUGGUAUCCUGUCUGAAUAUGGGGGGACCAUCCUCCAAGGCUAAAUACUCCUGACUGACCGAUAGUGAACCAGUACCGUGAGGGAAAGGCGAAAAGAACCCCGGCGAGGGGAGUGAAAAAGAACCUGAAACCGUGUACGUACAAGCAGUGGGAGCCUCUUUAUGGGGUGACUGCGUACCUUUUGUAUAAUGGGUCAGCGACUUAUAUUCUGUAGCAAGGUUAACCGUAUAGGGGAGCCGAAGGGAAACCGAGUCUUAACUGGGCGUUAAGUUGCAGGGUAUAGACCCGAAACCCGGUGAUCUAGCCAUGGGCAGGUUGAAGGUUGGGUAACACUAACUGGAGGACCGAACCGACUAAUGUUGAAAAAUUAGCGGAUGACCUGUGGCUGGGGGUGAAAGGCCAAUCAAACCGGGAGAUAGCUGGUUCUCCCCGAAAGCUAUUUAGGUAGCGCCUCGUGAACUCAUCUUCGGGGGUAGAGCACUGUUUCGGCUAGGGGGCCAUCCCGGCUUACCAACCCGAUGCAAACUACGAAUACCGAAGAAUGUUAUCACGGGAGACACACGGCGGGUGCUAACGUCCGUCGUGAAGAGGGAAACAACCCAGACCGCCAGCUAAGGUCCCAAAGUCAUGGUUAAGUGGGAAACGAUGUGGGAAGGCACAGACAGCCAGGAUGUUGGCUUAGAAGCAGCCAUCAUUUAAAGAAAGCGUAAUAGCUCACUGGUCGAGUCGGCCUGCGCGGAAGAUGUAACGGGGCUAAACCAUGCACCGAAGCUGCGGCAGCGACGCUUAUGCGUUGUUGGGUAGGGGAGCGUUCUGUAAGCCGUUGAAGGUGUCCUGUGAGGGGUGCUGGAGGUAUCAGAAGUGCGAAUGCUGACAUAAGUAACGAUAAAGCGGGUGAAAAGCCCGCUCGCCGGAAGACCAAGGGUUCCUGUCCAACGUUAAUCGGGGCAGGGUGAGUCGACCCCUAAGGCGAGGCCGAAAGGCGUAGUCGAUGGGAAACAGGUUAAUAUUCCUGUACUUGGUGUUACUGCGAAGGGGGGACGGAGAAGGCUAUGUCAGCCGGGCGACGGUUGUCCCGGUUUAAGCAUGUAGGCGGAGGUUCCAGGUAAAUCCGGUACCUUAUUAACGCUGAGGUGUGAUGACGAGGCACUACGGUGCUGAAGUGAUAAAUGCCCUGCUUCCAGGAAAAGCCUCUAAGCAUCAGGUAACACGAAAUCGUACCCCAAACCGACACAGGUGGUCAGGUAGAGAAUACCAAGGCGCUUGAGAGAACUCGGGUGAAGGAACUAGGCAAAAUGGUGCCGUAACUUCGGGAGAAGGCACGCUGAUAUGUAGGUGAAGUCCCUGCGGACGGAGCUGAAAUCAGUCGAAGAUACCAGCUGGCUGCAACUGUUUAUUAAAAACACAGCACUGUGCAAACACGAAAGUGGACGUAUACGGUGUGACGCCUGCCCGGUGCCGGAAGGUUAAUUGAUGGGGUUAGCGGCAACGCGAAGCUCUUGAUCGAAGCCCCGGUAAACGGCGGCCGUAACUAUAACGGUCCUAAGGUAGCGAAAUUCCUUGUCGGGUAAGUUCCGACCUGCACGAAUGGCGUAAUGAUGGCCAGGCUGUCUCCACCCGAGACUCAGUGAAAUUGAACUCGCUGUGAAGAUGCAGUGUACCCGCGGCAAGACGGAAAGACCCCGUGAACCUUUACUAUAGCUUGACACUGAACACUGGUCCUUGAUGUGUAGGAUAGGUGGGAGGCUUUGAAGCGUGGACGCCAGUCUGCGUGGAGCCAACCUUGAAAUACCACCCUUUAAUGGCUGGUGUUCUAACGUAGACCCGUAAUCCGGGUUGCGGACAGUGUCUGGUGGGUAGUUUGACUGGGGCGGUCUCCUCCCAAAGAGUAACGGAGGAGCACGAAGGUUGGCUAAUCCUGGUCGGACAUCAGGAGGUUAGUGCAAUGGCAUAAGCCAGCUUGACUGCGAGCGUGACGGCGCGAGCAGGUGCGAAAGCAGGUCAUAGUGAUCCGGUGGUUCUGAAUGGAAGGGCCAUCGCUCAACGGAUAAAAGGUACUCCGGGGAUAACAGGCUGAUACCGCCCAAGAGUUCAUAUCGACGGCGGUGUUUGGCACCUCGAUGUCGGCUCAUCACAUCCUGGGGCUGAAGUAGGUCCCAAGGGUAUGGCUGUUCGCCAUUUAAAGUGGUACGCGAGCUGGGUUUAGAACGUCGUGAGACAGUUCGGUCCCUAUCUGCCGUGGGCGCUGGAGAAUUGAGGGGGGCUGCUCCUAGUACGAGAGGACCGGAGUGGACGCAUCACUGGUGUUCGGGUUGUCAUGCCAAUGGCACUGCCCGGUAGCUAAAUGCGGAAAAGAUAAGUGCUGAAAGCAUCUAAGCACGAAACUUGCCCCGAGAUGAGUUCUCCCUGAGACCUUGAGUCUCCUGAAGGAACGUUGAAGACGACGACGUUGAUAGGUCGGGUGUGUAAGCGCAGCGAUGCGUUGAGCUAACCGAUACUAAUGAACCGUGAGGCUUAACCUU
Molecule: ribosomal RNA, 2906 nt
Filed under: Enterobacter hormaechei
Lineage: Bacteria; Pseudomonadati; Pseudomonadota; Gammaproteobacteria; Enterobacterales; Enterobacteriaceae
Description: 23S ribosomal RNA
Rfam family: Bacterial large subunit ribosomal RNA
Source: RNAcentral